GCUUUAAUUUGCACACUUGCCUCCGGGUAGUUCUUUGGCCUGGAGGCUCGCAGGCCCACGCCCUGCCGUCCUCCACUCCGGCCCCCAGCCGGGGCCAGAGCCCGAGGCACCCGAGCCUCCCCGGCUACCCCGCGGGCGGCGCCCUCCGCCCUCCGCAGCUGUGCCCACCCCCUGCCCGCAGAGCGCAGCUCGCCUGGGCCUCAGUAGUCAGUUACCUGCUCCGCGGGGCGAACACGAGCGGGGGCAGACAGACACUCCAGCUUCGCAGGAGGCCAGCGCCCCUGGACCGCAGGUGCAGAGAUUGUGGGCAGACUCUGUAAUCGCUGCGGAGGGGGAAGAAGAGGGAUCAGCGCUCUCCCGCGGCGGCAGCAGGACGCGGCGACUCGGCUGGGCGGAGUUUCCGGGCUACGCCCGGCUUGCGCCCGCGAAUCCGACUCUGGGCGUUCCCGAGGCGUGUAAGGCAGCGAGUGCGUACCCCGGUUCCACUGUGCCGCGCCGGCAGCCUGCAGCCAGCAUGGAGAAGGACAGCCUGAGUGGCGCCGAUCAGCAGUAUUAGUGAGUGGCGGAGAUCGGCGAAGGCACCUACAGGAAGGUCUUCAAGGCCGGCGACCUGAAGAACGGCGGCCGCUUCGUGACUCUGAAGAGUGAGCGAGUGCAGACCAGUGAGGAGGGCAUGCGCUCUCCACCAUCCGUAAGGUGGCUGUGCUGAGACACCUGGAGGAUUUGAGCACCCCAACAUGGUCAAGUGAGCCGAGAGCCCUGGCUAUGGGGUCCCGGAAUGUGCUGGGCAAAGGGCUGCUGGUGGCCCAACUAAAGUUAAGAGUUGAGUUUCCCCAGAUAAAACCGGUGACCCUGCUAGGCAGGGCAGAAAAAGAGACCUGCAGUGUCUUCCUGGCAGCCAAGCUAUUCUGAAGAGCUUUCGCUCUGCGUGCCCCAAGGGGCCUGAGGGCGUUGGGUGUCUUUUAGGGACAAAACCAGACAACCCCAGAAACGUCCCUCCAGCCCUUACUUAACUUUUCCCGUCCGUGGGGGUAUUUGUGAGAGAAGAGUGAGAUAGUUAUCCAGCUUGCAGAUAAUUAGCAGGAAACUUUAAGGGUGGAGCAUAAUGUAAAUAAAGUUUAAGAAAAUGCAGAAACGUGCA
Molecule: long non-coding RNA, 1141 nt
Filed under: Mus spicilegus (steppe mouse)
Lineage: Eukaryota; Metazoa; Chordata; Mammalia; Rodentia; Muridae
Description: lncRNA (ENSMSIG00000025223.1)
Source: RNAcentral